Molecule: long non-coding RNA, 1523 nt
Organism: Oxyura jamaicensis (ruddy duck)
Lineage: Eukaryota; Metazoa; Chordata; Aves; Anseriformes; Anatidae
Exons: 3
Source: RefSeq, a predicted model, not a curated record
UUACAGCAGCAGUGCUAUAGAGUAGCUCCCAGGUGGACUUUCCUGCUAAGUCUUUGUUGCCAAAGAGGUGUGACUCUAUCUGUUCCUUAUGGGCAGUUCAUUUUCAUGAAGCUGUAACUGAAUCUCAAAUCAUACUUCUGGGAAUCCAGCACCAAUGUUGUAUGAAUGAAUUAAAGGAAGCCACGUUUGCGAGGAGCACACAGCAACACGCUGCCCUGGAGGAUGUGCACGGAGGAGCGAGCAAAACUAAUUUCCCUAAAGCUUCCGGGCGGCCCAACGCCUGCAGGAACCACCGGGGGGAGGUUGGCUGGGCCUGUCCUGCCGGAGGUGUGGGGUGAGCUGGAAGUGCCCCAGACACCCCGUCCCUGUCCCCUGCCCUCACAGCGCUGGCAGGAGGAUGUUGGAGCGCUCAGACAAUGGUGGAGGAAGCGGCUCUGACUGCGUUUCCCUUCUGCUCCUUGGAGAAUUGGGGGAGCGCACAAGCGAGGGCCGGAUUUAGCUCUUGGAUCAACAUGAAACGUCCCCGUGCCGCCUGCUCCCUUCCUUUGUGCUUGGCCCCUUGUCAUGGGAGUGGAAGCGGCGCGCACGAGGGGAUCAGAGGAGCAGAGGCACCGUGCAGCAGGCAGAGCCGCAAACACAAUGCGGGUGAAACAAAGAGCGGGGCUGUGUUUACUGCCUCCCCGGUGCCAUUCACGUCUGCUUGGAGCUGGUUUCCUCUUUUCAUGAGCCUCUUGACCCACAGAUCCCUCUCCUCAGCAGCCCCGGAGCCCCGUGCCUGGAUCUGACUGCCUCUUCAGAUCGAGCCAACACAACACAUCGGACACAAAGAGCCUGGGCUGUGUGUUCGCCUCGAGGCUUUAAGCUCCUUGUGCUGGCCCCCAGGGCUUGUGUUUGUUUUCCAAGCCCUGAGGACAGCAGCGGUGCUCUGGAAGUCCACACAAACAGAGGCAGCACCUGAAGGCUGCGGGCCCCAGGCCUGCUCCAUCCUGUGGAAGGUGUCCCAGGCCCUGUCAGCGAGGGCCAGCAGCCCCACAACCUCACACAUAAGCCUGGCAAAAUGAGGAACUCGUGCAGGAGCCUGCUAGAAGAAGGGUGGCACUGUUUGCCCUGGCUGAGACACCCUGUCCCACAACAACAGUUUUGGAGAGAGGUGCUUUGACUGUGAAACCCCUAAGGGUUUUAUAGCAUGCUGUUUGUGGUUGAUUUUCAAGCCCCCUCUUUCUCCAGGCCCAGCCUGCAUUACAGUGAGCGCGGGGCCUCUCACCGCAUUCAUCUCCUCAACUGGGCCUCGGGGUGCAGGCGUGCGAAGCAGCAGCUCGAGGGCAGGCUUUGGAAAAGGCACCCCGAAGGGCAUGAGGCAGGGAACCUCUGGGCCUGCUUUCUGCAGCCAGCACGACCUGAAAUCCUCCUGCUCAGGCAGCUGGCAGCACAAACGGGGGGAAUUCCUCGGGUGUGCCGUGCCCUGCAGGAGCUGGGCAGCCCGAGGUGACCCCACUGCUGCUGCUCGGAGCCCAAGCACAUCC